UUUCUCUUUGUGCCUCCAUCCCCUUCAGACACCAUAAUCUUCUUCUUCUUUCUUAGAGAACCAAAGUCACCUGACUAUAGUCUUCUUCUCCGUUGCUCAGUUCCUCACCCCCUUGCCAUCGCUGCUCAGCCUCUCAUUCCCUAGCUGUCGUUGCUCACUCCUUGCCGUCGCUGCAGCUCCUCGCUGUCACCGCUCAACCCGCAGCUCCUCGUCGUUGCCGCUCGCCCGCAGCUCCAGCCUGUCGUCGCUGCUCAGUUUUUAGUUCUGUAAGACCAUAAGUUCCUCUCGCUCUUGUUCUCUCAUGCGCGCUUUCUCUCUCUCUCCCUCUCCAUCAUAUUGUGAGAUCUAAUUUUUUUUGUUCUUCCACUGAUUCAUCUCUUGGUUGCCGUCGCUGUGAACUUGGCCAUCGCCAUUGUAUGUGAGCCUGUCACCGAAGUCCCUUCUCUUUGUCUUUCGAGUCUGUGACUUGCUUCCAACUUUUACAUUAGCAAAGAUUCAAGAAUUGAAGGAUCUUGUAGAGGAAGCUAAGAGGAACCAAUCCUUGAAAUCUCUCUUGCUAUCUCCUUCUAGUGACUUUGUGUUUUCAUAUUAUGAAAAUAAAAUAGAUGUUUUUGAAUUCAAGAGCAAUAUGGUUGGGCUUUAUUUCUCAUCGAGUUCAUAUGAAAGAUGCACUGACUUUACUUUCGGUCUGGUGGAGUUUUAUGACAAGUUAAGAUCAGAUGAGGAGAGCUUUGAGAUUGUGAUGAUACCUCUUGAUGAGUAAGAAGAAUCCUUUAAGAAAGGAUUGAAAAGUAUGCCUUGGUUGUCAUUGUCGUUUGAGGACAAGAACGGUGGAAAAUGAUAAAAAAUAAAGACUGAAUACUCUUUUAUAUUAAUGUUGUAAUUUUUUUAUUAUGGUGUUAAAUUUAUAGUGAUCAAACAUUAGCUUUUUUUUUUUAAUUUCAAGUUAUUGAUAUUGUAUGAAUCUUAUGUUUGUAUUUUAAUUUAUGCAUGAAUUUAAAGUUUUUGUCUUAA
Long non-coding RNA from Arachis stenosperma, 1014 nucleotides. RefSeq lists it as uncharacterized. The transcript has 3 exons. The record is from RefSeq and is a predicted model, not a curated record. NCBI's taxonomy places the organism in Eukaryota, Viridiplantae, Streptophyta, Magnoliopsida, Fabales, Fabaceae.